Molecule: ribosomal RNA, 754 nt
Filed under: Boulengerula boulengeri (Usambara bluish-gray caecilian)
Lineage: Eukaryota; Metazoa; Chordata; Amphibia; Gymnophiona; Herpelidae
Description: partial 16S ribosomal RNA
Rfam family: Bacterial large subunit ribosomal RNA
Source: RNAcentral
UCAAAAUCCACAUACAACUAAUGAAUUAACUAUAAUUAACUAUAGUAAAAUUAUACUAGAACUAGUAAUAAGAAAAUACAUUUUUCUCCCAAUCUAAGUGUUGAGCAGAACGAAUAAGUCACUGUUAUAUACCGAUUUUUAAAUUAUAAAUAAUUAACAAGAUAUGCAUUAAUUCACUAUCGUUUAACCUACACAGGAAGAUUAAUAAGGAAAGACUAAAAAAUAAAGAAGGAACUCAGCAAACCCAAAUUUCGCCUGUUUACCAAAAACAUCGCCUCCAGGAACUUAUAUAUUGGAGGUACUGCCUGCCCAGUGACUCUGUUUAACGGCCGCGGUAUUCUGACCGUGCAAAGGUAGCAUAAUCACUUGUCCUUUAAAUAAGGACUAGUAUGAAUGGCAAAACGAAAAUUUAACUGUCUUCUUUAUUUAGUCAAUAAAACUGAUCUUUUCGUACAAAAGCGAAAAUACUAAUAUAAGACGAGAAGACCCUAUGGAGCUUUAAACACGUCAUCAACUGUAAAUAAAACUACACCUAUGAUUGACUGUUUUUGGUUGGGGCGACCACGGAGAAAAUAAAACCUCCGAAUUAAAUGCUUAGAAUACAUAUCAUGCAAUAGGAUAUCUAAAUUUAUUGACCCAAUAAACUUGAUCAACGAACCAAGUUACCCUAGGGAUAACAGCGCAAUCUUAUCUGAGAGUCCCUAUCGAAGAGAAGGUUUACGACCUCGAUGUUGGAUCAGGAUAUCCAAGUAGU